CAGCAGCCGCGGUAAUACGUAAGGUGCAAGCGUUGUUCGGAAUUACUGGGCGUAAAGCGUGCGCAGGCGGUUUUGUAAGACAGGCGUGAAAUCCCCGGGCUCAACCUGGGAAUGGCGCUUGUGACUGCAAAGCUAGAGUGCGGCAGAGGGGGAUGGAAUUCCGCGUGUAGCAGUGAAAUGCGUAGAUAUGCGGAGGAACACCGAUGGCGAAGGCAAUCCCCUGGGCCUGCACUGACGCUCAUGCACGAAAGCGUGGGGAGCAAACAGGAUUAGAUACCCCGGUAGUCCCUGUCUCUUAUAC
This 301-nucleotide ribosomal RNA is filed under the name uncultured bacterium. Its description in RNAcentral is "partial 16S ribosomal RNA". It matches the Rfam family "Bacterial small subunit ribosomal RNA", at positions 509 to 807 of the family's 1533-position model. The record is from RNAcentral.